UGGGGAAUUUUGCGCAAUGGGGGAAACCCUGACGCAGCAACGCCGCGUGGAGGAUGAAGUCUCUUGGGACGUAAACUCCUUUCGAUCGGGACGAUAAUGACGGUACCGAUAGAAGAAGCCCCGGCUAACUUCGUGCCAGCAGCCGCGGUAAUACGAGGGGGGCAAGCGUUGUUCGGAAUUAUUGGGCGUAAAGGGCGCGUAGGCGGUUUGACAAGUUUGGUGUGAAAUCUAUGGGCUCAACCCAUAGCCUGCAUCGAAAACUGUCGGGCUUGAGUAUGGGAGAGGUGAGUGGAAUUUCCGGUGUAGCGGUGAAAUGCGUAGAUAUCGGAAGGAACACCUGUGGCGAAAGCGGCUCACUGGACCAUUACUGACGCUGAGGCGCGAAAGCUAGGGGAGCAAACAGGAUUAGAUACCCGUGUAGUCC
RNAcentral lists this ribosomal RNA (424 nucleotides) under uncultured bacterium. RNAcentral describes it as "bacterial SSU rRNA". It matches the Rfam family "Bacterial small subunit ribosomal RNA", at positions 355 to 796 of the family's 1533-position model. The record is from RNAcentral.